AAGUGGAAUAAUAGAAAACUGAAGUCGAUAAUGAAAUAGUUCCUUCUCGUUCUCUUCAAGCACGUUGUGGAAAGAAUCCUGUCACUGAUAGAGGUCGAAAUUCACUUCUUUCCUUCUGCCCACAUGUUCUUUAUGAUAAAGAUCGUCAAGAAAGCGGUGGAGUUGAUACCAAAUGACUUAUUUGAUUAUGUGGAUACAAAUCAAC
Molecule: long non-coding RNA, 205 nt
Filed under: Aquilegia coerulea
Lineage: Eukaryota; Viridiplantae; Streptophyta; Magnoliopsida; Ranunculales; Ranunculaceae
Description: long non-coding RNA (ACOE_LNC000981)
Source: RNAcentral